AGCGAACGCUGGCGGCAGGCCUAACACAUGCAAGUCGAACGAACCUUUCGGGGUUAGUGGCGGACGGGUGAGUAACACGUGGGAACGUGCCUUUAGGUUCGGAAUAACUCAGGGAAACUUGUGCUAAUACCGAAUGUGCCCUUCGGGGGAAAGAUUUAUCGCCCUUAGAGCGGCCCGCGUCUGAUUAGCUAGUUGGUUGAGGUAAUGGCUCACCAAGGCGACGAUCAGUAGCUGGUCUGAGAGGAUGGUCAGCCACAUUGGGACUGAGACACGGCCCAAACUCCUACGGGAGGCAGCAGUGGGGAAUCUUGCGCAAUGGGCGAAGGCCUGACGCAGCCAUGCCGCGUGAAUGAUGAAGGUCUUAGGAUUGUAAAAUUCUUUCACCGGGGACGAUAAUGACGGUACCCGGAGAAGAAGCCCCGGCUAACUUCGUG
This 434-nucleotide ribosomal RNA is filed under the name uncultured bacterium. Its description in RNAcentral is "partial 16S ribosomal RNA". It matches the Rfam family "Bacterial small subunit ribosomal RNA", at positions 29 to 507 of the family's 1533-position model. The record is from RNAcentral.